Ruditapes philippinarum (Manila clam) is the source of this 607-nucleotide long non-coding RNA. RefSeq lists it as uncharacterized. The record is from RefSeq and is a predicted model, not a curated record. The transcript is spliced from 3 exons. Lineage: Eukaryota; Metazoa; Mollusca; Bivalvia; Venerida; Veneridae.
AUAUAACGUCAUCGACUACAGUUUCUUCUGAAACACUGCCUUCAGUUUCGUCAACAGAGGUAAACGCUGUAUACAUUGCCGCUCUAGUUGCCUCUUGUCUUGUUGUUUUGAUGGUGCUGCUUUUAUUUCUUUGGUGGCGACAUAACAAAUGUAAUCUCUCUUGUACGCUGCGCACACUUAGGAAACGAGACCCGGGUACAUUGAUUAAAAGUAAGACGUACAAAGCAAGCGGUAUAGAUCGACAUAGGUCCAUGGAUGAUAUACGCCAGUCUGAAGUUAAUGAGUAUGCAGAAAUAUCUUAAGAUAACAUGAAUACUGACAAUUCCAGGGGACAUGAUUAUCAAGAAAUAAAGGAAACAAAUGAUGAUAAAACUGACAGAAACAAAUCGUAUUAUCAGAUAGGGACUUCGUUGAUACGAAUGAUACGAACUACUCUCAUAUAGAUAUUGGAAGGGGAGCAAAUAGCAUACAUUUCGAUAAAACAUACGCACAUACAAACGCAGUUGAUGCGUCAAAUAAACCUGAAAUGAGCUGGAAGGAUAAUUUCGAGACAUACAACAAGUUGAACACUGUGAAACUGACAAAGAAAUAGAGUCCAAAGCGGCGA